RNAcentral lists this ribosomal RNA (513 nucleotides) under uncultured Glomeromycotina. Its description in RNAcentral is "SSU rRNA". It matches the Rfam family "Eukaryotic small subunit ribosomal RNA", at positions 548 to 1066 of the family's 1831-position model. Lineage: Eukaryota; Fungi; Glomeromycota. The record is from RNAcentral.
UUGGAGGGCAAGUCUGGUGCCAGCAGCCGCGGUAAUUCCAGCUCCAAUAGCGUAUAUUAAAGUUGUUGUGGUUAAAAAGCUCGUAGUUGAACCUUGGGCCUGGCUGGCCGGUCCGCCUCACCGCGUGUACUGGUCCGGCCGGGCCUUUCCCUCUGUGGAACCCCAUGCCCUUCACUGGGUGUGGCGGGGAAACAGGACUUUUACUUUGAAAAAAUUAGAGUGCUCCAGGCAGGCCUAUGCUCGAAUACAUUAGCACGGAAUAAUAGAAUAGGACGUGUGGUUCUAUUUUGUUGGUUUCUAGGACCGCCGUAAUGAUUAAUAGGGACAGUCGGGGGCAUCAGUAUUCAAUUGUCAGAGGUGAAAUUCUUGGAUUUAUUGAAGACUAACUACUGCGAAAGCAUUUGCCAAGGAUGUUUUCAUUAAUCAGGAACGAAAGUUAGGGGAUCGAAGACGAUCAGAUACCGUCGUAGUCUUAACCAUAAACUAUGCCGACUAGGGAUCGGAACGAUUAUU